This 497-nucleotide ribosomal RNA is filed under the name uncultured bacterium. Its description in RNAcentral is "partial 16S ribosomal RNA". It matches the Rfam family "Bacterial small subunit ribosomal RNA", at positions 28 to 507 of the family's 1533-position model. The record is from RNAcentral.
GAUGAACGCUGGCGGCGUGCCUAAUACAUGCAAGUCGAGCGAACGGACGAGAAGCUUGCUUCUCUGAUGUUAGCGGCGGACGGGUGAGUAACACGUGGAUAACCUACCUAUAAGACUGGGAUAACUUCGGGAAACCGGAGCUAAUACCGGAUAAUAUUUUGAACCGCAUGGUUCAAAAGUGAAAGACGGUCUUGCUGUCACUUAUAGAUGGAUCCGCGCUGCAUUAGCUAGUUGGUAAGGUAACGGCUUACCAAGGCAACGAUGCAUAGCCGACCUGAGAGGGUGAUCGGCCACACUGGAACUGAGACACGGUCCAGAAACCUACGGGAGGCAGCAGUAGGGAAUCUUCCGCAAUGGGCGAAAGCCUGACGGAGCAACGCCGCGUGAGUGAUGAAGGUCUUCGGAUCGUAAAACUCUGUUAUUAGGGAAGAACAUAUGUGUAAGUAACUGUGCACAUCUUGACGGUACCUAAUCAGAAGGCCACGGCUAACUACGUG